This 515-nucleotide ribosomal RNA is filed under the name uncultured bacterium. RNAcentral's name for it is "partial 16S ribosomal RNA". It matches the Rfam family "Bacterial small subunit ribosomal RNA", at positions 28 to 523 of the family's 1533-position model. The record is from RNAcentral.
GAUGAACGCUGGCGGCGUGCCUAAUACAUGCAAGUCGAGCGAAUGGAUUAAGAGCUUGCUCUUAUGAAGUUAGCGGCGGACGGGUGAGUAACACGUGGGUAACCUGCCCAUAAGACUGGGAUAACUCCGGGAAACCGGGGCUAAUACCGGAUAACAUUUUGAACCGCAUGGUUCGAAAUUGAAAGGCGGCUUCGGCUGUCACUUAUGGAUGGACCCGCGUCGCAUUAGCUAGUUGGUGAGGUGACGGCUCACCAAGGCAACGAUGCGUAGCCGACCUGAGAGGGUGAUCGGCCACACUGGGACUGAGAAACGGCCCAGACUCCUACGGGAGGCAGCAGUAGGGAAUCUUCCGCAAUGGACGAAAGUCUGACGGAGCAACGCCGCGUGAGUGAUGAAGGCUUUCGGGUCGUAAAACUCUGUUGUUAGGGAAGAACAAGUGCUAGUUGAAUAAGCUGACACCUUGACGGUACCUAACCAGAAAGCCACGGCUAACUACGUGCCAGCCGCCGCAGUAA